GAUGAAGAACGUAGCGAAAUGCGAUACGUAAUGUGAAUUGCAGAAUUCAGUGAAUCAUCGAAUCUUCGAACGCAUAUUGCGCUCUCUGGUAUUCCGGAGAGCAUGCUUGUUUGAGUAUCAGUAAACACCUCAACUUCCAUAUCUUUUUUGAAAUGGGAGUUGGACUUGAGUGAUCCCAACGCUUUUCCUCACCGAAAAGUGGCGGGUUACUUGAAAUGCAGGUGCAGCUGGACUUUUCUCUGAGCUAUAAGCAUAUCUAUUUAGUCUGCCUAAAAAACAGAUUAUUACCUUUGCUGCAGCUAACAUAAAGGAGAUUAGUUCUUGUGCUGACUGAUGCAGGAUUCACAAAGACAGGCUUCGGCCGACUUUGUAAACUCGAUCUCAAAUCAAGUAAGACUACCCGCUGAACUUAAGCAUAUCAAUAAGCGGAGGA
This 433-nucleotide unclassified non-coding RNA is filed under the name soil metagenome. RNAcentral's name for it is "partial contains 5.8S ribosomal RNA, internal transcribed spacer 2, and large subunit ribosomal RNA". The stretch from base 1 to 120 matches the Rfam family "5.8S ribosomal RNA", at positions 35 to 154 of the family's 154-position model. The record is from RNAcentral.